RNAcentral lists this long non-coding RNA (402 nucleotides) under Mytilus galloprovincialis (Mediterranean mussel). The record is from RNAcentral. Lineage: Eukaryota; Metazoa; Mollusca; Bivalvia; Mytilida; Mytilidae.
CAAAAGGACUUUUUGUACCUUUUCGCAUGGACUGGCUCAUAUACAAACAGAAGAUAAGAAAUAAAACCACAACCACAAACGACAAGACACAAAACAAUAUCCGAUCAGAAUUUAAAAAAAACCUCAGUAAGGGAGCUACCAUUUGAUUUUUAUGGGGGGGGGCUAGGAUGAAAUUUGAAAAAAAAUAGGCAGGACAGGAGUUUUGAGUAAAAAAAAAGGCAGGAUGAGACACUUUGCAAAAAAAAAAGGCAGGAUGACAAUUUAGGUAAAAAAAGUCAGGAUAAACUAAUAAAAAAAAAGGCAGGACCGAAUAGAGUGAAAAAUAAAAAGGCAGGACAGAGAUUACAACUAAAAAAAAAAAUGCAGGACAAAAUUUUUCAUCCUAGCCCCCCCCCCCCCCCC